This 243-nucleotide ribosomal RNA is filed under the name uncultured bacterium. RNAcentral's name for it is "partial 16S ribosomal RNA". It matches the Rfam family "Bacterial small subunit ribosomal RNA", at positions 15 to 252 of the family's 1533-position model. The record is from RNAcentral.
GAUCCUGGCUCAGGAUGAACGCUAGCUACAGGCUUAACACAUGCAAGUCGAGGGGCAGCGGGAUUGAAGCUUGCUUCAAUUGCCGGCGACCGGCGCACGGGUGAGUAACGCGUAUCCAACCUUCCGUACACUCAGGGAUAGCCUUUCGAAAGAAAGAUUAAUACCUGAUGGUAUCUUAAGCACACAUGUAAUUAAGAUUAAAGAUUUAUCGGUGUACGAUGGGGAUGCGUCNCUAGUAGUAGG